This 473-nucleotide ribosomal RNA is filed under the name uncultured organism. RNAcentral's name for it is "partial 16S ribosomal RNA". It matches the Rfam family "Bacterial small subunit ribosomal RNA", at positions 334 to 798 of the family's 1533-position model. The record is from RNAcentral.
CACUCCUGCGGGAGGCAGCAGUGGGGAAUUUUGGACAAUGGGCGAAAGCCUGAUCCAGCAAUGCCGCGUGAGUGAAGAAGGCCUUCGGGUUGUAAAGCUCUUUUGUCAGGGAAGAAACGGUGAAAGCUAAUAUCUUUUGCUAAUGACGGUACCUGAAGAAUAAGCACCGGCUAACUACGUGCCAGCAGCCGCGGUAAUACGUAGGGUGCAAGCGUUAAUCGGAAUUACUGGGCGUAAAGCGUGCGCAGGCGGUUUUGUAAGUCUGAUGUGAAAUCCCCGGGCUCAACCUGGGAAUUGCAUUGGAGACUGCAAGGCUAGAAUCUGGCAGAGGGGGGUAGAAUUCCACGUGUAGCAGUGAAAUGCGUAGAUAUGUGGAGGAACACCGAUGGCGAAGGCAGCCCCCUGGGUCAAGAUUGACGCUCAUGCACGAAAGCGUGGGGAGCAAACAGGAUUAGAAACCCUAGUAGUCCCAU